Molecule: ribosomal RNA, 468 nt
Filed under: uncultured bacterium
Lineage: Bacteria
Description: partial 16S ribosomal RNA
Rfam family: Bacterial small subunit ribosomal RNA
Source: RNAcentral
GACGAACACUGGCGGCGUGCUUAACACAUGCAAGUCGAACGGAAAGGCCCUGCUUUUGUGGGGUGCUCGAGUGGCGAACGGGUGAGUAACACGUGAGUAACCUGCCCUUGACUUUGGGAUAACUUCAGGAAACUGGGGCUAAUACCGGAUAGGAGCUCCUGCUGCAUGGUGGGGGUUGGAAAGUUUCGGCGGUUGGGGAUGGACUCGCGGCUUAUCAGCUUGUUGGUGGGGUAGUGGCUUACCAAGGCUUUGACGGGUAGCCGGCCUGAGAGGGUGACCGGCCCCAUUGGGACUGAGAUACGGCCCAGACUCCUACGGGAGGCAGCAGUGGGGAAUAUUGCACAAUGGGCGGAAGCCUGAUGCAGCAACGCCGCGUGCGGGAUGACGGCCUUCGGGUUGUAAACCGCUUUCGCCUGUGACGAAGCGUGAGUGACGGUAAUGGGUAAAGAAGCACCGGCUAACUACGUG